GAUGAACGCUGGCGGCGUGCCUAAUACAUGCAAGUCGAGCGAACAGAUGAGGAGCUUGCUCCUCUGACGUUAGCGGCGGACGGGUGAGUAACACGUGGAUAACCUACCUAUAAGACUGGGAUAACUUCGGGAAACCGGAGCUAAUACCGGAUAAUAUAUUGAACCGCAUGGUUCAAUAGUGAAAGACGGUUUUGCUGUCACUUAUAGAUGGAUCCGCGCCGCAUUAUCUAGUUGGUAAGGUAACGGCUUACCAAGGCAACGAUGCGUAGCCGACCUGAGAGGGUGAUCGGCCACACUGGAACUGAGACACGGUCCAGACUCCUACGGGAGGCGGCAGUAGGGAAUCUUCCGCAAUGGGCGAAAGCCUGACGGAGCAACGCCGCGUGAGUGAUGAAGGUCUUCGGAUCGUAAAACUCUGUUAUUAGGGAAGAACAAAUGUGUAAGUAACUAUGCACGUCUUGACGGUACCUAAUCAGAAAGCCACGGCUAACUACGUG
This 497-nucleotide ribosomal RNA is filed under the name uncultured bacterium. Its description in RNAcentral is "partial 16S ribosomal RNA". It matches the Rfam family "Bacterial small subunit ribosomal RNA", at positions 28 to 507 of the family's 1533-position model. The record is from RNAcentral.